CUCCUCUCAGGGUGGCACUUAGAGAAUUUCCAGUAUUCUACCAGUCUCGGCUAUGGGAGGGAGAGUCAAGCAGAGGCUCCAUUCCAUUCCUAGCUUGGAGAGUGGCUAGUGAGUGGAAGGCAAUCUGCUACAAGU
Molecule: non-coding RNA, 135 nt
Organism: Ornithorhynchus anatinus (platypus)
Lineage: Eukaryota; Metazoa; Chordata; Mammalia; Monotremata; Ornithorhynchidae
Source: Rfam